AGAGUUUGAUCCUGGCUCAGAUUGAACGCUGGCGGCAUGCCUUACACAUGCAAGUCGAACGGCAGCGCGGGAGCAAUCCUGGCGGCGAGUGGCGAACGGGUGAGUAAUACAUCGGAACGUGCCCAAUCGUGGGGGAUAACGCAGCGAAAGCUGUGCUAAUACCGCAUACGAUCUACGGAUGAAAGCAGGGGACCGCAAGGCCUUGCGCGACUGGAGCGGCCGAUGGCAGAUUAGGUAGUUGGUGGGGUAAAGGCUCACCAAGCCGACGAUCUGUAGCUGGUCUGAGAGGACGACCAGCCACACUGGGACUGAGACACGGCCCAGACUCCUACGGGAGGCAGCAGUGGGGAAUUUUGGACAAUGGGCGAAAGCCUGAUCCAGCCAUGCCGCGUGCAGGAUGAAGGCCUUCGGGUUGUAAACUGCUUUUGUACGGAACGAAAAGUCUCCUUCCAAUAAAGGGGGAUCAUGACGGUACCGUAAGAAUAAGCACCGGCUAACUACGUGCCAGCAGCCGCGGUAAUACGUAGGGUGCAAGCGUUAAUCGGAAUUACUGGGCGUAAAGCGUGCGCAGGCGGUUAUGUAAGACAGUUGUGAAAUCCCCGGGCUCAACCUGGGAACUGCAUCUGUGACUGCAUAGCUAGAGUACGGUAGAGGGGGAUGGAAUUCCGCGUGUAGCAGUGAAAUGCGUAGAUAUGCGGAGGAACACCGAUG
RNAcentral lists this ribosomal RNA (711 nucleotides) under uncultured bacterium. RNAcentral's name for it is "bacterial SSU rRNA". It matches the Rfam family "Bacterial small subunit ribosomal RNA", at positions 8 to 714 of the family's 1533-position model. The record is from RNAcentral.